This is a long non-coding RNA of Drosophila montana, 511 nucleotides long. RefSeq lists it as uncharacterized. Lineage: Eukaryota; Metazoa; Arthropoda; Insecta; Diptera; Drosophilidae. The transcript has 2 exons. The record is from RefSeq and is a predicted model, not a curated record.
AUACAGAGUUCACUUUCAGUUGAUCCACAAUUAUAUUUAAUUCGAGUUCAAGCCGAAGCAGUACGAUGAUAUUUUUGAAGGCCAAUGCAUUGCUGUUCAUUGGUGUUCUAUUGGUAGUUGUAACAUUCCACGAAGCCAACUCGUAUAGAAAGUGCUCCAUAAACGAGGAAGAGCAAUGCAAAUGCUUUGAGAGCUCCUGCUUUCAGCUUUUAUAUGAUGGGGAAAAUUGUGCGUCCUGUAAAACAGAGUGCCAAUGUAAAAUUGGUUUUGUACGCAACAGGGGUAUGUGUAUGAAAAAGGAAAAAUGCUGCUCGGGUUCUGUUUGCGUAUCGAAAAAGGAGCAAAUUAUAAGAGCCAUACGUCAAAAGAUGGAAAGGCCGACCGCCAGGUCGAAUAAGAUCAAGUAAAAUCGAUUAUGUUCGCAAGCCUAAUGUUUAAAAAUACAAAUGGAUUUACAGAACUUGCCUACGAAAGAAUAAAUUGUUGCUGUACCUAAUUAAACAAUUUCUUU